CGUCUCAGGCUAGUGUGCAGAGUGCCGCCGUGGGCGGGGGCCCCGGGAGUCCCUGGUGCUCUCCCGGAACCCUCUGAGCUACUCCAGACUCGGCUUUCAGAGGGGACUAACUCUGAAACCAGCAUCUCUUCUCCCUCACUGCCUCCCGCUCCGAGUCAGCUAUUUCCUCGCACCUCUGCAAGUGGACCUCCACACCUGGGUGCUGGGAAGGGAGGUCGACUGCUUUAGAACUCCACCUUAGAGCGGCCCAGCGAUUACAUAGCUCUUGAACAUGAAAAAGGUGAUUGACGUGCUGUAUCUAUGACAUCCUACAUAUUUCCUGGGAUCUGGCUGGCCAUCUUGACUUUAAGAAGACUGAACUUGGCGGAGUGAUAGAAGUUUCACACAAAUUUCUUGUCAUACAGAGAACUGAGAGGGGGUGACAUGCCAAGGAGCCAUUUAGAAGCCCAUGCAGAAGAGGACAAAACCCCAAUCUGCUCAGGAUCCUGAGCCACUCCCUCAAGACAAAGGUCAGAAACAAAGCAGAUUUGGGAGGCUACAAUCAAGGUUAUUUGAGAAGUGGGACCUGGUGUUUUACCGUUACCUAUGAGUGUCCACACAGAAAUUUAUAGAUGUGGGAAAGGCUGGGUAAUGAGAACGCUCCAUAAAGAGGCACCGUACUUCACCGGGGAGAAAUUGUCCAAGUUGCUUCACAAACGUUAAGAAAUAUGCCUACUUAAUUGUGUGUUGAAAUUUCCAUGGUCUUUACUUUAUUCGUUUCAUGUGCAGCGAUUAAAAAGAUAUAUUGUACAUUUUAGUAUCUCUUAUGUUUUCCAAUAAAUACAAACCUGGAGUGCA
This is a long non-coding RNA of Neogale vison (American mink), 837 nucleotides long. RefSeq lists it as uncharacterized. Lineage: Eukaryota; Metazoa; Chordata; Mammalia; Carnivora; Mustelidae. The record is from RefSeq and is a predicted model, not a curated record. The transcript has 5 exons.